UCAGUUUGAAGACACGGCCUCCUAUUUCAGACUCAUAGUGCAAAAUGGCAAUUCAUAUCUUUUCUCCGUAUUUCAUAUACUCAACUCAAGAUCAUCCCACAAACAACCGCACUGUCGAUAAUAAUUAGCAAAAAUCAUCAGCUUAUUCAAGAGGCCGUCUCCCAGUGCUGGACUUUACUUUAUUGGACUGGAUUAUGAAUUCUGAUUUGGAUUACGUGCCGUCGCCAGGAAGAUGAAACGUCACGUCAACAUGACCGCAGGCAAAUAAAUAGAUAUGGAUAUAUGUACAUACAUACAUAUAUAUGUGACAGGAAUCUCUGGCCUCAAGGAGUAAUAGAGGCUUUCUAAUGUACUAAAUCUCCAUUUAUUCAACCGAUGGCUUCAAAAGGUGCCUAUCCGAGUGGUAGAGAUACAGCCUUGAGAAGAACUUUUGUGCGCUCGAGGCUAGCUAGGCGUUUUUCUCGAAACUUUUUGAAGUCGGUUGGCAAGAUUUUUCGAAAACUACUCAACCGAUCUUCAUGAAAUUUUACACAGAUAUUUGAAAUACAAUUAUUAAAACUUGGACGAAGGAUUUUUUUCGAUUACAAUUAUUUGAAUUAACAUUUUUUUGAAUUUUUUUUCACUGAAUUUUUAAUUUUUUUUUUUGUAAAAAUGUCUGGCAAAAAUCGAAUUUUCAGCUUUUUCCUUCGUCAAAGUUUUGAGUUAAGGUUUUAACUAAAAUACGUAUUUCUUUUUACUUUAGAUGAUCCUGUAAAGAGUUAUCCUGCCUGUGCGGGCGCAUCUUUUUUCCGAGGGGUCACCGGAAAUGGCGUUGCAAUGGCCGAGUUUUAAAUAUUUUUUUCAAAAAUUUUAGAAUUGCUUUAUUACUAGCGUAUGCUUGUAACAAUAAAAAAUUCUAAUAAAAUAUUUAUUUUCUUAUGAGCAAAAAAUUGUUGAAAAAACACUGUUUUCUAAACCCUAAAGGAAUGCGAGUAAAUGGUGAAAAGUGAGAAAUAUAAAUAAUUCAAAACAUGUUUACUAAAAAUUUA
Bactrocera neohumeralis is the source of this 1028-nucleotide long non-coding RNA. RefSeq lists it as uncharacterized. The transcript has 5 exons. NCBI's taxonomy places the organism in Eukaryota, Metazoa, Arthropoda, Insecta, Diptera, Tephritidae. The record is from RefSeq and is a predicted model, not a curated record.